UGAGUACGAGCUGCUAGGGCAGCGAAGUGGGUGAUGUCAAGCUUCCUAGAAAAGCCCUAUACCCGUUAAGGCAUCAUUGCCUGUACCCGAAACCGACACAGGUGGGGUGGUAGAGAAUACCGAGGGGCGCGAGGUAACUCUCUCUAAGGAACUCGGCAAAAUGGCCCCGUAACUUCGGGAGAAGGGGUGCCACCGCAAGGUGGUCGCAGUGAAGAGGCCCAGGCGACUGUUUACCAAAAACACAGGUCUCCGCUAAGUCGCAAGACGAUGUAUGGGGGCUGACGCCUGCCCAGUGCCGGAAGGUUAAGGAAGCUGGUCAGCGUAAGUGAAGCUAGCGACUGAAGCCCCGGUGAACGGCGGCCGUAACUAUAACGGUCCUAAGGUAGCGAAAUUCCUUGUCGGGUAAGUUCCGACCUGCACGAAUGGCGUAACGAUGGCCACACUGUCUCCACCCGAGACUCAGCGAAGUUGAAAUGUUUGCGAAGAUGCAAUCUACCCGCUGCUAGACGGAAAGACCCUGUGCACCUUUACUGUAGCUUUACAUUGGACUUUGACAAGAUCUGUGUAGGAUAGGUGGGAGGCGUUGAGGCGUGGCCGCUAGGUCGCGCGGAGCCGACGUUGAAAUACCACCCUGGUGUUGUCGAGGUUCUAACCUAGCUCCCGAAACGGGGGCGGGGACCGUGUAUGGCAGGCAGUUUGACUGGGGCGGUCUCCUCCCAAAGAGUAACGGAGGAGUGCGAAGGUACGCUUAGCGCGGUCGGCUAUCGCGCUGAAAGUGCAAUGGCAAAAGCGUGCUUAACUGCGAGACGGACAUGUCGAGCAGGUGCGAAAGCAGGUCAUAGUGAUCCGGUGGUUCUGUAUGGAAGGGCCAUCGCUCAACGGAUAAAAGGUACGCCGGGGAUAACAGGCUGAUUCCCCCCAAGAGUUUACAUCGACGGGGGAGUUUGGCACCUCGAUGUCGGCUCAUCACAUCCUGGGGCUGUAGCCGGUCCCAAGGGUAUGGCUGUUCGCCAUUUAAAGUGGUACGUGAGCUGGGUUUAAAACGUCGUGAGACAGUUUGGUCCCUAUCUGCAGUGGGCGUUGGAAGUUUGAGAGGGGCUGCUCCUAGUACGAGAGGACCGGAGUGGACGAACCUCUGCUGUACCGGUUGUCACGCCAGUGGCAUCGCCGGGUAGCUAUGUUCGGGAGAGAUAACCGCUGAAAGCAUCUAAGCGGGAAACUUGCCUCAAGAUGAGACUUCCCGGAGGGUUAACCUCCCUGAAGGGUCGUGGGAGACCACCACGUUGAUAGGUCGGGUGUGGAAGGUGAGUAAUCGCCGAAGCUAACCGAUACUAAUUGCCCGUGCGGCUUGAC
RNAcentral lists this ribosomal RNA (1353 nucleotides) under metagenome. Its description in RNAcentral is "bacterial LSU rRNA". It matches the Rfam family "Bacterial large subunit ribosomal RNA", at positions 1564 to 2925 of the family's 2925-position model. The record is from RNAcentral.